GACGGAGGGGGCAAGCGUUGUCCGGACUCACUGGGCGUAAAGGGUGCGUAGGCGGCUUGUCAAGUCAGUUGUGAAAUCUCCGAGCUUAACUCGGAACGGUCAACUGAUACUGUCAUGCUAGAGUGCAGAAGGGGCAAUCGGAAUUCUUGGUGUAGCGGUGAAAUGCGUAGAUAUCAAGAGGAACACCUGAGGUGAAGACGGGUUGCUGGGCUGACACUGACGCUGAAGCACGAAAGCUAGGGUAGCAAACGGG
Molecule: ribosomal RNA, 253 nt
Filed under: uncultured bacterium
Lineage: Bacteria
Description: partial 16S ribosomal RNA
Rfam family: Bacterial small subunit ribosomal RNA
Source: RNAcentral